Molecule: long non-coding RNA, 198 nt
Organism: Sinocyclocheilus grahami
Lineage: Eukaryota; Metazoa; Chordata; Actinopteri; Cypriniformes; Cyprinidae
Exons: 3
Source: RefSeq, a predicted model, not a curated record
GAUGUGCUCAGGGUGAGGGCUGACGAUGCCGAUGUCUCUCCAGAAAACAACAGAAUUACGUAUUCAAUACUGUCUCCAGUACCAGAUGACUUUGAAGUGAGACAGGACGGUAACAUCAGGUUGAAACAACGUCUGAACUACAACAAUGUUCAACAGUACAUCUUCACUGUGAAAGCUGAAGAUAAAGGAGGACUCAGU